This 490-nucleotide ribosomal RNA is filed under the name uncultured Rhodoferax sp. RNAcentral's name for it is "bacterial SSU rRNA". It matches the Rfam family "Bacterial small subunit ribosomal RNA", at positions 8 to 491 of the family's 1533-position model. Lineage: Bacteria; Pseudomonadati; Pseudomonadota; Betaproteobacteria; Burkholderiales; Comamonadaceae. The record is from RNAcentral.
AGAGUUUGAUCCUGGCUCAGAUUGAACGCUGGCGGCAUGCCUUACACAUGCAAGUCGAACGGCAGCACGGGAGCAAUCCUGGUGGCGAGUGGCGAACGGGUGAGUAAUAUAUCGGAACGUGCCCAGUCGUGGGGGAUAACGUAGCGAAAGCUACGCUAAUACCGCAUACGAUCUACGGAUGAAAGCGGGGGACUCGUAAGGGCCUCGCGCGAUUGGAGCGGCCGAUAUCAGAUUAGGUUGUUGGUGAGGUAAAAGCUCACCAAGCCUGCGAUCUGUAGCUGGUCUGAGAGGACGACCAGCCACACUGGAACUGAGACACGGUCCAGACUCCUACGGGAGGCAGCAGUGGGGAAUUUUGGACAAUGGACGCAAGUCUGAUCCAGCAAUGCCGCGUGCAGGACGAAGGCCUUCGGGUUGUAAACUGCUUUUGUACGGAACGAAACGGUCUGCUUUAAUACAGCGGGCUAAUGACGGUACCGUAAGAAGAGAC